This is a long non-coding RNA of Anas platyrhynchos (mallard), 3880 nucleotides long. RefSeq lists it as uncharacterized. The record is from RefSeq and is a predicted model, not a curated record. NCBI's taxonomy places the organism in Eukaryota, Metazoa, Chordata, Aves, Anseriformes, Anatidae.
CUUGCAUUUUACAUACAAGUAGUUUCCACGGGCUACAAUAAAAAGCUCUAUUUUGGCUUAAACUAUUUCCACACAUUGAAAUCCAGUGCGGAAGGCCCCGCAAUAAUGAGGUGCAAGCACAGAGAGCAACAGCUAUUACAAGUCUAAAGCUGAUCACUUUUGUUAAUAAGGAGGGCUAGUACAUAAUUAGGAAGAUAGCACAACUGACACCAUCACGUAAAGGUAGACAAACAGAACAAAAACCAGUUGGGAAUGGGAUUAAACCUUGCAGCUUCUCUUCUGCUUUUAGUCACACAUAAGGUUUAUAGAUACUUUUUCUCCUUAAAAUGCCUGAAGUAUAGUUCUGCAGCUCUCUCCUGCCUCGCACAUAGAACAACAGGCUAGAGCUAGUUAGAGACGCGAUCCUUCUCUUCCUUUGAUAAGGAUGAAGAACAGCUUUGAUAAACACAGAGAGUUACACCAGUAAAAAGCCAACAUAAGGAAAGGGUCAGGCAGUGACGAGCUCUCAGGCAGCUCAAGGGUUGUCCCAGCUUGGCUGACCAAGUGCACGCAGCUUCUGGAGGAGGAGGCCUUGCUGCAGGCUUGCCAUGAGGGUACGAGGUGAGGAAGAGAAGCCCCCCAGGGAGCAGUCACACCUCUGAAAGUCAAAAGAAGAUUCCUCAUACAUACCCUGCUCAAGCAAAAAGCAAAGACUGCCCCAGGACUGAUCUUUUGCUAUUUUUCUUCUCUGCUCUUUGGUGUUCCCUUCCCACCUUUCAGGAGAAACUGUUGCUUCCAAAUGGCAACUUCAUAAGCACCUAUGAGAGAACUUAAUUGGAACUAAUUAGAUGUUGGUUGUCUGGGACCUGCGGAGUCACAGCAAUUACUCAGUCAAGAAACAACUUGGGGGAGGGCAGUGCUUCUUUGCAGGAAAAUGAACUAAGCUGCUCCCUAAAGGAAACUUUUUACAGAGAUGGAACCUUUCAAAGCAUGGAGCAGAGCUCACAGUGAUCUAAAUUAAAGAUUAUUUUUAAAGAAUGUCAGGGAAAAUAUUUCCAUCAACAGUUCUAUCUCAAUAAGCUAUUUAAGUGUUUGAAAAUAUUUUCAAAUGUAGUUUUUGCUGCUUGAUUCUGCGCUAUUUAAAAAUUAACUUCCACCCACGUAGCUUUCCAGGGAGCUUGCAGGAUUAUGACCCUGCAGUAGUUCCUUGGCUUUACGUUCAGUGCAGCCCGGCUGCGCUGGGAUGUGAUGUGCUGGGGUCGGGCAGGCCAAGGGGACCUGUAUGUAUACGCUUUUAGUAGCAACUUUGCUGAUUUUGCUGUUUUGUCCUUUACUAAGAGAAAAGUGUGGCAGUAGGAUGCUUUCCUUUGAACAAUUCCUGCAGACUAACAGGUAUGAAUGCUGCAUGUACCAGAACCACUGUUCAUCAAGCUCACUUCUCAGCUCCUGCUUCUGUUUCAUGAAAUCUACACCUGAAGUAUUAAAAAACUACAACACUCCAUAGAUCUGUAUCUACCAUCUUCUAUUAUAUUCCUUUUACUCUCUAACAGUGUACAAGAGCCUGUUCCAGCCAGCUUUACUGAAGUAAAGAUUCUGUCGUCAGCAAGAGAAUGUGUGGUAAAAGUUUUGUCAUGAGUUGCAGUAAUGUGGCUGCAAGUAGGAAAUUCUGAUUUAAGCCUGAUGGGACUGAAAAAUAUGCCCCUCCCUAAAGCAGAGAACUAUAUAGCUCUGUAAAAUAACAUACCUCCAAGGAUGGUUAAAAAUCAGGGGUUUCUGAGCAGUAUUAGUAUGAAAUCUUGACUGUUUCUUUCUUCUGAAAAUAAUGGAAUGUGCAGUUUGAGGCAUUCUCAGCAACAUAUUAUCCCCAUGAGAAGCAGAUGAAUAUUUAAAUUGCAUCGCAGCUGAAGAUGUUUGUAAGAAGACUGCUGUCAAGCCAUCUAUCUAGCUUCCAGUACGUGCAUGUAAGUGCUCUGUAGUACUGCAGACAGCCUGCCUCGGGCUUUUGAUCUGAGAUCUUACAAAAGCCAUGCAAGAGUUGAUGGAGUUAGCAGUUGAAAAGGAGCAUCCUGAGGAAGAAACUACAUCACAGCAAUUGCUGCAAAGAUGUCGUGGGUGGCAGUCCCGAAACAGAGCAGUCUUGUAUCAAGGAACAUGGGGCUGCUGGACAUCGCUGUGUUUCUCACAGAAGAGUUACGGGAAGGAUUUUGUCAAUCUGUGCUUGUAAUAGUUUGAGCUCAAAGACGUCAGAAAUGGCUGCACUUAAUGAUAGCUUUACAGACGUAACUUGGUGCUCCAGGUACACACACAGCAGUCAGUUCAACGCUACUGCUCCAGCACUGACCUCAGAAACUGCCUGCAGCGGUCCAAGUUCAAGAGGCAGACCCCAGUGUGUCAGGCAUUACAAAGCACCCCAAGAUACUAUUUCAACUACAACUGCUAAGAGGUUAGCGUUACUCUAAGCUGGUGUGCCUUCCUAAGGCAGCUUUAAACGAGAAAUCCUCUGGCAGUCCCCACCCCCUCCCAGCAACCCGAAACAUAAAAACUGGAGCAUGCCACUUUAAAACUAGCCUAUUUAGGCCACAGAUGCUAAAUGAAUUCAGCAGACAGACGGAGUAAUGGAAUGUCAGUGUUCCAGUCUGCUGCCUUGAAGCAAUAGGUUUCUUUUUAUUAUUAAUUUCUCCUCUCAUUUUCCAAUGCUGCCUCUGGGCUCCAUGCUUUAGAUGCAGUAUUCUUGUCAGUCUCGCUAACCCAAUUUGGAAAUAAUUAAAUUUUAAAAUAUUAAAGGGAUUAUAAAUACUUCCCACCCCACUUCCCCCGCCCCACUCCCUUUUAUACUGUCCCUAUAAAACUGCUGAAUUUUGCUUCAGGACUUAAAAUGUGUUACUGCAGAAUCUGAUUUGUUGCUGCAGUUUCCUUUGCAAAGGCUGUAGAAUAUCUGAAGGGGAGAAAAAAAAAAAAAAAAAAAGGAGUUAAUUCCAGUAAAAGUAAAAGGUGCCCAGAAGUCUUAUGAGAUGAAGAGCUCUGCCAUCCUGACACCUUGGAACCUGAUCUUACUCCUGUUGAAAUUAAUGCUAAGACUGUCAACCUUGUCCUUACUGUGGCAGCUUGCUGUCCACCAGGACCCCAGGCUCUCCUCCGCAAAGCACUUUUCCAGCCACUCAGCCCACGGCACCCUCAGCACGUACGGGUGCCUGCGGUUAUUCUUCCCCAGGUGCAGGAAGAAUUUGCAUUUCCUUUAGUUGAGCCUGAUGAGGUGCUUCCCUGACCAGCUCUCCAGCGUGUGUGGGUACCUCUGAGCAGGCACAGCCGCCACAUCCAUCCUCCUCGUCGGCAUCUGCAGGCUGCUGUGGGCACACUCUGCCCCAUCAUCCCACCUAUCGACAGAGAUGUUACACAGCCCCAGCCCCGGGCACACCGCUGCUGACCUGGCUCCAAAAGAGCCUUGUGCCUCUGAUCACAGCCCCCUGGGCCCAGCCAUUCAGCCUCAGUCCUCCUCCGUUUAUCUUAACUGGAUUAUUUUUACCAUUAUGCUCUCUAGUACGUAAAGAAAGUAACUGAAUCUUGGCACUGUCCCUAUAUAUAGUAUCCUGCUCUUGAAUACUAUCAUCAUCAUCAGGGCCCUUUGCUGGUUUAAUUUUAGGCCUCACAGUCCCAGAUAUCCUCACAGAUACAAAUGUACACUUUGCAUUUCACUGCUGUGAAGAGCGAGGCAGAAAAGCGAUGUAACUUGCCAAAGAUCAAACAGCAAAAUGAGAGGCAGAGCUGUGAACAGAUCCGAGGAGCCCUGUCACACAAACCCUAGAAAACACGCUGUCACUCUGAUGUACGGCUGCUUCAGCUGCCCCCAAACUACAAAUACCUGCUGGAGAACUUUGCCUCAUGCUGGUCCACCAAUACAAAA